GAGGCAGCAGUGGGGAAUUUUGGACAAUGGGGGCAACCCUGAUCCAGCCAUUCCGCGUGAGUGAAGAAGGCCUUCGGGUUGUAAAGCUCUUUCGCAAGAGAAGAAAACUUGCUAUCUAAUAAAUAGUAAGUAUGACGGUAUCUUGACAAGAAGCACCGGCUAACUACGUGCCAGCAGCCGCGGUAAUACGUAGGGUGCAAGCGUUAAUCGGAAUUACUGGGCGUAAAGCGUGCGCAGGCAGUUUUAUAAGUCAGAUGUGAAAUCCCCGAGCUCAACUUGGGAACUGCGUUUGAAACUAUAAGACUAGAGUGUGUCAGAGGGGGGUAGAAUUCCAAGUGUAGCAGUGAAACGCGUAGAGAUUUGGAGGAAUACCAAUGGCGAAGGCAGCCCCCUGGGAUAACACUGACGCUCAUGCACGAAAGCGUGGGGAGCAAACAGGAUUAGAUACCCUGGUAGUCCACGCCCUAAACGAUGUCUACUAGUUGUUGGUGGAGUAAAAUCCAUGAGUAACGCAGCUAACGCGUGAAGUAGACCGCCUGGGGAGUACGGUCGCAAGAUUAAAACUCAAAGGAAUUGACGG
This 580-nucleotide ribosomal RNA is filed under the name uncultured beta proteobacterium. Its description in RNAcentral is "bacterial SSU rRNA". It matches the Rfam family "Bacterial small subunit ribosomal RNA", at positions 345 to 916 of the family's 1533-position model. The record is from RNAcentral. Lineage: Bacteria; Pseudomonadati; Pseudomonadota; Betaproteobacteria.